UACGUAGGGAGCAAGCGUUGUUCGGAUUUACUGGGCGUAAAGCGCACGUAGGCGGAUCGUUAAGUCGAGGGUGAAAUCCUGGAGCUCAACUCCAGAACUGCCUUCGAUACUGGCGAUCUAGAGUCCGGAAGAGGUGAGUGGAACUCCUAGUGUAGAGGUGGAAUUCGUAGAUAUUAGGAAGAACACCAGUGGCGAAGGCGACUCACUGGUCCGGUACUGACGCUGAGGUGCGAAAGCGUGGGGAGCAAACAGG
RNAcentral lists this ribosomal RNA (253 nucleotides) under uncultured bacterium. Its description in RNAcentral is "partial 16S ribosomal RNA". It matches the Rfam family "Bacterial small subunit ribosomal RNA", at positions 524 to 776 of the family's 1533-position model. The record is from RNAcentral.